RNAcentral lists this long non-coding RNA (2417 nucleotides) under Schizosaccharomyces pombe (fission yeast). Lineage: Eukaryota; Fungi; Ascomycota; Schizosaccharomycetes; Schizosaccharomycetales; Schizosaccharomycetaceae. The record is from RNAcentral.
UGUAGUCAAUUUGUAGCCUCACUAACAAAUGCCACACAAAUCUCAGUUUGUUUUCACUGCAUUCACCACAGAGAUUGAAGUCCAAUUGCGAUUCAGUAGCCGACCAAAAACAACAAAAUUUAGAAAACCAAUUACUAUAAUUUAAUAGAAGUUACAGGCUUUCUUUCGACUAACAAAUGAUUAUGUGGUUUGAGUGUUUUAGUGGACGUUAGUUGUAAGGUGUACUUGGAUGCAACACACUAGGCCUUAGCUUAAUUUCCAACGUAAGGGUGAGGCUAUCCAGGACAGGGAAAAAGCCCCGAAGGCGCAAUCAUCAUAAUAAAUCAAGAAUCUAUAAUAAAAAAAUUUAAUUAUUUUAAGCCGUAAAUAUUCUAACCAGUGAUUAUCUAGCAUCUACCAUCGUAAAAACGGAGUUGUCGGAGCUGAGGCUAUACGAUAGAUUAUACAAACAUAAGUAGUACUAGGUUUAAACAGGUGUUUAUCGAUUACUGAGGAAAUGUAAAGUAAUAUAUAGCAAAAUUUCAUUUCAUUGUUUUGUUGCUACGUCCAGAAGUUUCGGAAUCAGAAUGUAUAACUCUCUAUCUUUACAUAGUACUGAGAAAAUUUGCUUUUCACGAAAAAGCUCCAUUUGAUAAUCUUCCACUUGCGACUCAGAAAGUGAAGAAUAUACACUUUGCAAAAAAUUUUUUUCCGAUUUCAAGUAAUGUUUACUUUCGUCGUGAAUAUUGUGUUCCAUAUGUUGUAACCAUAUUAAAAAGUCUGAUUCUAACAUAAUUUCCUUUACCAUUGGAAAAAAUGAAGAUUCUAAAUCUUCAUGCGCAUCGAUGAUUUCUGCCCAGUUCACCUGUAAUAGAAAACGGCGAUAUACGAGAUCUUUUAAGUAAAAAUACACGUCCUUAGUGAUUGUAGCUCUUUCUAAUAACUCUAAGGCCAAAUCAACUUCUUUGAAUGAACAUUCCCGUAAUGAAAAAGAAGAAAAGAAAUCUACCAUCUCACAAAGCGUAGUGUAUUCGUUUUGAAUUAAUCGCUCAACAGCACUAGACACGAGCCAGGCUCUGAUAGAGUUUUCUGAUAGAUUUACACAAUUGGAAGUUACUAUUGCUUCGACAGCUUCUCCCUCGUCUUCUGUAAUAUCCACAAGUGAUGAAAGCAUUUCAGCAUAUUGCUCUUGAAUAAGCAAAAUGGCUAAAUGAUUUUCAAUCACCUCAGUCUCAUUUGACAAUAUGAUAUUUUCACCUUCAAUUCUAUUAGUCCAUGAGUAGAGCUUUGCUAGAGCUAACUGCGAAAUUUUACCGAUAAUCCUGUUUUCUUCUGGUUCACAAUCACGGAAAAGAAUUUCGGAGGCUCGUCCAUAAUUUCCAUUUUGAGCUUCAAAUAUCCACAAAAGAUUCAAUAAAUCAUUGGCUUCAAAAAAAGAUAUUAAAAGUGAUUGAUACUCCAAGAAAUCAUGAAGCAAAGACGCAUACUGCUCUGUAUCAACCAAAUAAAAAAAAAUUACAUCUGCGAAUUCUUCUUUGUAUUUAUUUAAGCAUGCUUUUUGCUUUUGAAGCUUAAUGGUAGGAUCCUUUGGAUCUAGACAAUCCAGCAAAAUUACCAUUGUCUGAAAGUCUUUAACUUUUUCCGCCAAGUCGAUUGCCUUUUCCAAAUAUCCGACAGAAGCUUCUUUGUUAGCGGAAACAAGAAAGUGAGAAACAGCUUACCUAAAUAUUGUAACCAUUCUUUUCGUGAAUUGCCAAAUUCUUCUUCAAAUUUUUGAAAAUUAUGCGAUUUUACUAUGGUAUCAUCUGUUCCAUUGUGCAAAUCAAAGAUCAAAAGGCAAUUUUGUUCCACCAGAUGCAAAAUCUGCUUCCGAAGCUUGUUACUGACUUUUAAUAUGUGUGCAUCUUUCGAGUCACGUACAUCGCGAUGCAAUGAUAUCGAAUCUUCGAUCUGUUUUCGUAGUAAAUCUAAGUGAUCAACUUCAACUGUCCAAAGGUCGCUUCUAAUCACAGAGGAUGGAUCAGUAAAUUUUGAUAUUUUUUCUUGCCUAUAAGCAAGCUCAUUUCCAAAGAUAGUCUAAUAUUAGUAAACCUCGUUAUUUUAUAAGAAACAUACCCCAUAAACGUUAUUAACAUUUACUAUUACUUCAAUUCUUUUUUGUGCGUUGCUAGCAUCUUGGCCAGAUAUUUGAGAAUAUUCCGAGCUUAAAUGCUGUAAUAACAAAUUUAUAUUCAGGCACUUUUUCAAAAAAAGUUCAUCAAUAUUAUCAUUUGAAGACAUUAUUUUCAAUACUCGUCGAAGCAAGUUAGACAUUUUUUCAUUACACAUCAAUAAUUCAUAUAGGUCUGCCAAAGCACUGCAAUAGGCAACUUUUAGCCAUAAUUGAAGUCUAUUAGAAGGAGAUAAAUGUAGGUAUUUGAAGGCAACAAGAACUAUUU